GCAGUCGCCCUGCGCGCCUCCCCGCGAGGCUUGUUUUCUAGCGCCUCUGGUGGGCCGCCUCCCGCAGGCCUGGUGUGAGCCUGGGGUCCGUUCUCACAGCUGGAUCUGGGGUCUGAAUGCCGCGCCCUCUGGAGAGCCACAGAUGGGUCUCCGCUGAUGCUUCUCUCAAUUUCCUCUAAGAGCGAGAGCUCCGGGAAAGGAGCCGAUCCUGGUGGAAGACUACAGGUCUGAGUCCACUGGACGAAAAACGAGGCUCCUUGGAUUAGAGACCAUCCUGAGGACAUCCUUGGGAGCCAUGUGCUGAAGAUGGCCAAGCCACAGGAUGAAAGGAGCUGCAUCUUUGAGUCACCACUGGAGAAAGGUCUCUCUAAAUGGAUUUGCAGAGACGUCUUCUCGAAUACUCCCCUUCUAAGUUCCACUUGUAAUCCACUUCUUCUAUUCUCCCAGCAAUCAAUGUGGUUUGGGGAAAUUCCAGAAUCUCAUAAUACCUUGGUCAUGGGUAAAUAAGGAAAGGACCUUUACAUACAUGUGAUGCAAAGCAGAUCAAAACAAGCAGAGCAGCCUAAGAGCAGCAAGACCCCAAAGGAUAAGGGAAGUCCUGCAGAAGAGCAGAGCGGUGCUGCAAAGGCAGGCAGGUAAGAGAUGAGGUUUCGCCAUGUUGACCAGGCUGGUCUCAAACUCCUGGACUCAAGUGAUCUGCCCACCUCGGCCUCCCAAAGUACUGGGAUUACAGGCAUGAGCCAAUGUGCCCGUCCUGAGGAGUUUUCUUCUGGAAUUCCUGCUGGGUUUUUGUAGUCAGUCCUCUCCCCAUUUCCCACAUUGGCUCUUGCAGACCUUCCUUUUCCCCAUUUCUAUUUGCUACCAUGUCAGACAUGACUUUUGCCAUAGGAUCUCUAUUCUACUAUAGAGGAAACCAAAGCCAUCAGUAGAAAUUUCACUAACAUGGAAUCAGAUUUAUAGAAGAAAGGGGGAGGAAAGUUUUGCCUUAACACCUGGAAGGGUUUCGUUUCUUUUAGUAGCUGGGAGACAGAAACAUAAGAAAGUAGCUUAGUAAGCUUUCUGCUGUUCAACUGAUGAUGUGUGAGCUGUCAGUAGUUCAAACUAGUCAUUAUCUUUAUGAAUUAAUUAUGUAAUAACUUAAACAAUGUCAUAAACCUUCAAAUCAG
RNAcentral lists this long non-coding RNA (1166 nucleotides) under Homo sapiens (human). Its description in RNAcentral is "long independently transcribed non-coding RNA 2980, transcript variant 5 (LINC02980)". Lineage: Eukaryota; Metazoa; Chordata; Mammalia; Primates; Hominidae. The record is from RNAcentral.